GUCCUCUGAUGAGGUUAUUAGUGUCCACAGUGAAGACUUGAUACUGGAAGCUUUCAAGAAGAUGAAAGAUAAUCACAGUAACCGUCUUCCGGUUGUAGAAGUAACAAAGAAGCAAAUGAGAACUUGGAGAAUGAAAGAACAUCAGGAGCAUGUUUUCGCCAAGAAGAUAGCAAUUGUGGAAACAGUGGAUUGACAUGCCUUUCAAGAUAAAGAUGCAGACACAAUACUGGACCAAUUCGACGGUGGAACGAACAAUGAUGAAGAAAUAGAACAGUGUUCUUUUUAGCAUUUUGGAGAUGAAGAACCAUUAAUUAAUUCAAGAAUCCGAAGUGAUCAAACAAAUCUUCAUAGAAAAUGAAAGAACUCAUUGUUGGAGAUACAUCAAAUGACAAUGAAAACAGAGUUGUUCAAAGAUGGUUGAGACAUGAACUUUUGGAUAUGCAGAUAUCAGUUUCUGA
This is an RNA transcript of Fragaria vesca subsp. vesca, 458 nucleotides long. RefSeq lists it as uncharacterized. The transcript is spliced from 4 exons. The record is from RefSeq and is a predicted model, not a curated record. NCBI's taxonomy places the organism in Eukaryota, Viridiplantae, Streptophyta, Magnoliopsida, Rosales, Rosaceae.